GUGGGGAAUAUUGCACAAGGGGGGAAACCCUGAUGCAGCGACGCCGCGUGAGUGAUGAAGUAUUUCGGUAUGUAAAACUCUAUCAGCAGGGAAGAUAAUGACGGUACCUGACUAAGAAGCUCCGGCUAAAUACGUGCCAGCAGCCGCGGUAAUACGUAUGGAGCAAGCGUUAUCCGGAUUUACUGGGUGUAAAGGGUGCGUAGGUGGCAGUGCAAGUCAGAUGUGAAAGGCCGGGGCUCAACCCCGGAGCUGCAUUUGAAACUGCGCGGCUAGAGUACAGGAGAGGCAGGCGGAAUUCCUAGUGUAGCGGUGAAAUGCGUAGAUAUUAGGAGGAACACCAGUGGCGAAGGCGGCCUGCUGGACUGUUACUGACACUGAGGCACGAAAGCGUGGGGAGCAAACAGGAUUAGAAACCCCAGUAGUCC
RNAcentral lists this ribosomal RNA (425 nucleotides) under uncultured bacterium. Its description in RNAcentral is "partial 16S ribosomal RNA". It matches the Rfam family "Bacterial small subunit ribosomal RNA", at positions 354 to 796 of the family's 1533-position model. The record is from RNAcentral.